AAAAAAUUCCAUGUCAUUAUCCACGUGAUGUGCCACGUAGGCAAGACCACAGUCAAAUGCGGCUUUGAACCGGAAUGAUAUAAUAAACCAAGUUUAGGGAUCUCGAUGUGCACUUUGCAAGUUCGUGGAUCUAAGUGAAACCUCCUGACAAGUUUAAGAACCGCUGGUGUAUUUUACUCAAUGAUUUUUCCAGUAGUGACCCCAAAAACGUUAAUGUGUAUAUAACUUGGGAAGGAAACACACUCUACAUUUGUAUAGAGUAGCACUUAGGGAAAGUCAUGUCAUCCCUUAACAUGAUAUACCACCAUUACUUGCAUACCAAUUAAUUAGUAAUGAUUUUUUUUAAAAAAAAUUGCUAACGUAAUUCAUUAUGUUAUAUCACUCCAUAAACAUACAAGUUUAAAAUCAACUAGAACCUGGGGCGUGCCGUUGGCGCGCCACCUGAGCGGAAUUACGGUGGGCAAGAAAUGGGUAAUUAGCAAAGACGCCAGAUGAUGAGAUAUAAAUGUAAGUAUUCUUUGGUGUUAAAAAAGAGAGCAAGAAAGCAGGAAGUGAAAUAGAAGUAAACUGCAGUGCCAAACAGUUAUAGGCAUACCGAUAUCUAGUAGUCUUUAGCAGCAACAUGGAUAUACACAGACGUUUCUUAAAAUGUCCAAGCUAGUGCACUAUGGAUAGUAAGCACCUAAGGUGUAGAACUAAUAAGCAUGGUAACAAUUCCAGGGGAGGGAAGCGGCCGAUCCUGAUAGUGAUCAGCUUGUUUACUGGCAGCAGAAGCAUGAUCAUAAGAUAGCUAUGAAUGCCCAUAUGGUCUUCACAGGACAUCAAUAGUAACCUCCAGGCAGGUUGUCCUGUAGAAAUGGAAGAUGCAAACUGAUCCGAGAGCUAUGUCAUCUGUGCUGCGAACUUUGUCCACCCUUUCUUCAAGUUGCAACGGUCAUCUGUUGAAACGUGGAGGAUCAUGCUGGUUGAAAUACCUCCUGCUACUUGUACUUCAGUGUCGACGGUUUUUUACCUUCCAUUAGCGGUUUUAUGUAGUUCUGUGAAAAUUCCUUUGUAAAGUACUGUAAUUGCACGGUAUGUUAGUUCUUUAUUAGUGGUAGAAAAGCAAUAUUAUCAUGAAUGAUAGGGGUGGGAAAAAUAAAUAAUUGUUGCAAGAGCUU
Molecule: small RNA, 1160 nt
Filed under: Oryza sativa Japonica Group (Japanese rice)
Lineage: Eukaryota; Viridiplantae; Streptophyta; Magnoliopsida; Poales; Poaceae
Description: sRNA Os01g0310550
Source: RNAcentral